RNA transcript from Anneissia japonica, 2775 nucleotides. It is a transcript of the gene named acyl-coenzyme A amino acid N-acyltransferase 1-like, with no coding region annotated. The transcript is spliced from 10 exons. Lineage: Eukaryota; Metazoa; Echinodermata; Crinoidea; Comatulida; Comatulidae. The record is from RefSeq and is a predicted model, not a curated record.
GUUCCAUUGCCUGUAAACAAAAUAAGGGCAGUCGGACCUCUUGCAGUUUUAUACUCUUUGGUAUAGUGGUGGUGUAUGCUGAGCCUAAACGUCUAUCUAAUAAUAACUAAUUAAAGACUUUUUUAUAACAUGCUUCAAAAAUUGUCAAGCCAAAUCCUGUUCAUCAUUUCUCAUAACAUCUCGGCAGUGAAUAGGAGGAGUUCGUUCCUACACUCGUUUAAGCCCAGGCCUGGUCGACUACGAGAUAGGCCUAUAUCAUUAUGUGCCACCACAGCAGGCCUACACAAUAGGUCAAUACAUAUAGACGUGUCUCCGUCUCCCUGCCUUGCUGAUCACUGUCCAAGGAUCUGUGUGACAUCUGCCAAACAAAACACUGACUAUACCAUAAAAGGAAGCAUUAAGAAUGGCCAAAAUCUAUUGGUUUCUUAUGCCCACUUUAAAUCAUCAUCAACAGGUGAAAUUGAUCCUAGCCAGCAACCAUCACUCGGCGGUACAUACACUGGUGUUGAUGGAGCAGGACUUCUGUGGAGCCUACAAUUUCCAGAAAAACCAGACCAUACAGUACUCUCUAUCAAAGGCCUGGAUGUUCUUAAACCUCUGCAAAUGCAAUUUAGUGUUCAUCAAGGUGCAUUGACUGCUCAAGAGCUGGAGAGCUCAGGUGCCAUUGCAGGAUGCCAGUUGGAGAGGAUGUUUGUGUCAGAGGAUGUAGAGAGCCAAGAGGUUUUAGAAGGAAGCCUACGUGGAAUCAUCUUUAAGCCACUUGGCAAAGGGCCAUUUCCAAGUGUGAUUGACAUGUAUGGCACAGCUGGAGGACUCAAGGCAACAAGGGCUGCCCUCCUGGCUUCAUGCGGCUUUGCUACGUAUGCACUACCUUUUUUUGCUUAUCAAGACCUUGUUAAAAUGGUAUCCGAAGUCAACUUGGAGUAUUUUCAGGAAGCCUGGAGUUGGUUCUCAUCUCAAGAGUUUGUUGACCCAGCUCGUAUUGGUUUCAUGGGCACAUCAAUGGGAGCUAUGAUUAGUAUAGUUACUUCAUCCAUGAUGUCUGAUAAGGUAAGAGCUAUAGUUUGCUAUGCUGCAAAUCAUCAUCAUGUCUUGGCGCCUGUGAAGUUACGUGGAGAACAUUUACCUUUUAUAGAGUAUUCAGGUGAUCUAAUUGAACUUAGGGAAAAUGGUGAAAUUAAUGUUUUAAAAGCCAUCACAGGGAAUUUAAACAACGCAACAGAAAAAACAGCUAUUCAGAUUGAAAAAUCAAAAGCCCAUUUUCUAUUCAUUGCCGGAGAAGACGAUCAGAUUUACAACAGUAAGGACUGCACGUCAAAACUGACUGAAAGGUUAAAUCGCAGUGGUCACCAUAAGCAUACGGUCUUGACAUAUCCUGGUGCUGGACAUCUAAUUGAUCCUGGGUUAUUACCGGUCUCUAUAAAGACUAGGCACCCACUCGCUGGUGAGAUGAGUUUUUGUAUUUGAUUUCAUUACUAUGAAACAAUCUGACUCAGAUUUACACCUGGAUCCCUUCUAUCCCUUGGAUAUGCAGGUGCCUUAAGCUAAGGCCAACUCGGUAUGCCACAGCAGGCCUUACGCGAUUUACCGUCAGGGACAAUCUUAAAGCAUUGUGGGAAUAUUAAAUAUGUUUGAUAUUCUACAACAUUACUAUCCCCGAUGCAGUCUUAUGAUGACAUAUCACGUCUGUCUUGAACUUGUGACAACAAAUCAUGCCUGGUUGCUUUGUACCAAUAUGGCGUGGUGAAUUCCAAUCCAAUUGGAAGCAAUGUCCUUUCACGCAUCAUUGCUGAUCUGCACUAGUUGUUGAAACAUUCACUGAGAUCAGUUUGAUAUAAUUUUUAAACUUCAGUGAGAUGGGGCAGUUGUGGUUUAUACUUAAUCAAUGGAGGAAACUUAGAGGAUCAGGCUAAAGCGCAACAACAUUCAUGGGAGAGUGUUAAAGACUUCUUCAAGGACAAGCUAGCUUAAAUCUUUCACACCACAUCUAGAUCUGAACCAAUCAAGCAUGAAGACAAUAGCAUGUUUAAGAAAAUAAUGAUGAUUAUUUGAAAAAAAGAAAAAAAAAAGAAAAGACAAAUGUAUGGAAAUUACAGAAUAGUAAGGCCUGGACCAACAGAUUUCAGUUUCAUAAUUUAUUUGGAAUCACUUUAGUACCAGUGGCACCAGACAUGGGGUAAUUGUAAUUUGUAAUUGUGAUAAAUUGUGUUCAUUACAUUUUUUAAUUUAAUUGGGUGUAAUUUGUAAUUUGCUUCAAAAUUCUAAUUUACAAUUGUAAUGCUCAGCACUCACCGUAACAAGACAAACCGUCUGCGUAAUUCUUUUCUCCAUGAUAGUAUUCAUUUUUUUAAUUCUUACGUUCAUAGAAAAUGACGAUAUAGUAUUUUCGAAUAUGAUGUUUUAUAUUGAUAAUAACGAUAUGAAAUUUUUAGAUUUUCUUCUGGAUUUUAAUGUUUUUUGUCUGCAUUUGCUAACUGAAGAUGCUUUUCUUUUGUUAUUAAUAAUGAAAGAUAACAAAGUUCAUUCGUAUUUCGUAUGUAAUUGUAAUUUGAAAAAUAUAAUUUGUAACCAUGACAAUUACAUUUGCAUACAUUUCUUUACUCACAGUCGUGUCGUCACAACACCAGGUGGUGCUCUUUGUUGUCAACCAGACGUUGGUUUAACUGUACAUUAUGCCUGGAUGACUUCAUAAUCUUAAUGGUUUAGAAUAGGCUUUCUUGAAUAGGCAUUUUAAAACUUAAUAAUUUACCAUCAAAAUGUACUAAAAACACAAAA